Molecule: ribosomal RNA, 253 nt
Filed under: uncultured bacterium
Lineage: Bacteria
Description: partial 16S ribosomal RNA
Rfam family: Bacterial small subunit ribosomal RNA
Source: RNAcentral
UACGUAGGGUGCAAGCGUUAAUCGGAAUUACUGGGCGUAAAGCGUGCGCAGGCGGCUAUGCAAGACAGAUGUGAGAUCCCCGGGCUCAACCUGGGAACUGCAUUUGUGACUGCAUGGCUAGAGUGCGGCAGAGGGGGAUGGAAUUCCGCGUGUAGCAGUGAAAUGCGUAGAUAUGCGGAGGAACACCGAUGGCGAAGGCAAUCCCCUGGGCCUGCACUGACGCUCAUGCACGAAAGCGUGGGGAGCAAACAGG